UACGUAGGGUCCGAGCGUUGUCCGGAAUUAUUGGGCGUAAAGAGCUCGUAGGCGGUUUGUCGCGUCUGCUGUGAAAUCCCGAGGCUCAACCUCGGGUCUGCAGUCGAUACGAGCAAACUAGAGUGUUGCAGGGGAGACUGGAAUUCCUGGUGUAGCGGUGAAAUGCGCAGAUAUCAGGAGGAACACCGGUGGCGAAGGCGGGUCUCUGGGCAACAACUGACGCUGAGGAGCGAAAGCGUGGGGAGCGAACAGG
This 253-nucleotide ribosomal RNA is filed under the name uncultured bacterium. RNAcentral describes it as "partial 16S ribosomal RNA". It matches the Rfam family "Bacterial small subunit ribosomal RNA", at positions 524 to 776 of the family's 1533-position model. The record is from RNAcentral.